This 402-nucleotide ribosomal RNA is filed under the name bacterium. RNAcentral describes it as "partial 16S ribosomal RNA". It matches the Rfam family "Bacterial small subunit ribosomal RNA", at positions 355 to 776 of the family's 1533-position model. The record is from RNAcentral.
UGGGGAAUUUUGCACAAUGGGGGAAACCCUGAUGCAGCGACGCCGCGUGAUUUAGAAGGCCUUCGGGUUGUAAAAAUCUUUUCUAUGGGAAGAAAAUGACAGUACCAUAGGAAUAAGGACCGGCUAAUUACGUGCCAGCAGCCGCGGUAAUACGUAAGGUCCGAGCGUUGUCCGGAAUCAUUGGGCGUAAAGGGUACGUAGGCGGGUAAGCAAGUUAGAAGUGAAAUCCUAUAGCUUAACUAUAGUAAGCUUUUAAAACUGCUCAUCUUGAGGUAUGGAAGGGAAAGUGGAAUUCCUAGUGUAGCGGUGAAAUGCGCAGAUAUUAGGAGGAAUACCGGUGGCGAAGGCGACUUUCUGGCCAUAACCUGACGCUGAGGUACGAAAGCGUGGGUAGCAAACAGG